CAGUAGCCGCGGUAAAACGUAGGUGGCAAGCGUUGUCCGGAAUUAUUGGGCGUAAAGGGCUCGCAGGCGGUUUCUUAAGUCUGAUGUGAAAGCCCCCGGCUCAACCGGGGAGGGUCAUUGGAAACUGGGAAACUUGAGUGCAGAAGAGGAGAGUGGAAUUCCACGUGUAGCGGUGAAAUGCGUAGAGAUGUGGAGGAACACCAGUGGCGAAGGCGACUCUCUGGUCUGUAACUGACGCUGAGGAGCGAAAGCGUGGGGAGCGAACAGGAUUAGAUACCCGGGUAGUCCCUGUCUCUUAUAC
This 301-nucleotide ribosomal RNA is filed under the name uncultured bacterium. RNAcentral's name for it is "partial 16S ribosomal RNA". It matches the Rfam family "Bacterial small subunit ribosomal RNA", at positions 509 to 807 of the family's 1533-position model. The record is from RNAcentral.